UUUGGAAGUCAAAAAUUAAUCAUGGUUUCGAAUGUAUAAAGGAUCGUGUCCUAUUGUGCUGGACGUGAUGCUGUAUUUCUUUGAAACAAGAGAAUUUUGACGAGCAACUUGAGCCAUCAAAUGUUUUAAAAGGAACUAUAUUUCAAAAUAUUUUAAAAUCUUAGACAUAAGGACAGUAAUUAAUCAAUUUGGUACCAAUUUUG
This 203-nucleotide long non-coding RNA is filed under the name Gossypium barbadense (sea-island cotton). Its description in RNAcentral is "long non-coding RNA (GBAR_LNC010205)". The record is from RNAcentral. Lineage: Eukaryota; Viridiplantae; Streptophyta; Magnoliopsida; Malvales; Malvaceae.